Molecule: long non-coding RNA, 2270 nt
Organism: Lolium perenne
Lineage: Eukaryota; Viridiplantae; Streptophyta; Magnoliopsida; Poales; Poaceae
Source: RefSeq, a predicted model, not a curated record
AGAUUUAGCUAUACAUUAGUUUUGAGCUUGUGAGGAAAUGAAGAGAAGUUAUUGAAGGAAAAUAGAAAUGGCAUUUCUUCGUGAGUUUUCGUGAAACUCAACUCCUCCUCGAUCACGGUUUAUCUUGGAUCCUUUUCUGCUUAGGUAUGUCCGUAUGUGAAAAAUUAAACUGGUAAAAUUCCUUGUGUUUGUAAGUUGUAACCUUCCCGUGUGAUCCUUGAGCCUGUCAGCGUAAAUACACAUCCUUCUACUUUUCUCUCUAAUAGCAGGCACACAUUUCCUUCAUUGACUGGGCACAAUUUCAGCAAAUGAUACAAUAUAAUUGGAGCAGUUCGGCUGGCAGUGGCAAAUGGAUCUGUGUUCUACUACAGCACCGCCAAGGCAAGGAUCUUUCAGCAGGUAACCAUUUGAAAUGAACGAAAAAUUAGUUGAUGUUUAGCAAAACUGUUCACUGUUUAGAGUCGGCUUGUCUGCCUUGACAUGCGCCUCAUUAAUCAUCAAAAAGUUGUAAUUCUCAUUUGAAAAUACAAGGGUUUGCACACCAGUGGCCACCCCUCGCAGGAAGCUCUUUUUUGGUUCAUUCAUCAGCAUCAAUUAAGGCACUAACAUCACUUGUUUAUUGCUGAUACACAUCAUGCCUGCUCUUAAUUGCUUGGAGUUAAACUAAUGGCUACCUCUUCCCAAUGAUACCUAUCAUCUACGCAUAUCUGUUCCACCAUCUCGUUCUCACAUGAUGCCUAUCCUUGUCCUUGUGCUAUUGUAUUCUUCAUGGUCCUUUUACCCCUCCAUGUGCCCUACCACCUCCCUGUCCCUCAUACCUAGAUUCUCCCUAUUUCUUAGUUUCUCUCACUAGCACCAUUUCAAUUCUUAGGCAAUGCAAUAUUUGUUCAUGUUUGUGUCACUUGCAAGCUGGCUCUCAAAUAUUUCUGUUGUUGAGUCCCUUUCUCCUCUUACCAUUUCUGUUUGAAUUUUGCCCACCUUUGCUUUUCCUGGCCUUUAAACCUACCUUUUCUUUUUAGUGUGUACGAUUUCUUAUAUAUGUUUACAUGUAAUUUACCCUCUUCAGCAAGAGAUGAAACACAUGAGUACCACCAAUAGCCACACCAUGUCUAUGGGGACCUACAAACGAAUGGAAUAUUGACGUGUGGGUCGACACAGCACGCGGCAACGUAUCCUUAGAGUCCACUGCCUCACGUGACAUACUAAUCACUUUCACUUAAUAUAAUAAAAAAUAACACAGUGAGAUGCCUUUCAAGUUUCAACUAUAGGUCGAUCUGCAUACAGUUACGAAUUACAUGCAUAAGCAUCAAGAGAGCAGGCCCAUUCAGGAACUUGCCAGCAAAAUUGAUGAUGCUAUGCGCAUCAAGAUACCAAAUGGAGUUAGAAAAACAAGUUAAGGUUGGUAGAUCUAGGUGAUGACAUGGGUAAAAAAUCUUGAAAACUCCUUCAUUGUGCAAAUGAUGGUACUUUUUUUACGCAUUCUUCUAUCAGUAUGCAAACAUGCUAGAUUGUGGCCUCCACUCUCUUGCAUCCAUGUAAACUGAGACGCAAAGCUUUUGUGUUUAUUUGAAAAAAAAUGUUAGGCCUUUGCUGUUUGUGCCAGCUUUCAGUUUUCUGUACGAUGCUAUGUUACUUGUAAUUCAUGAACACUGAUCUUGAUUGAUUUGGGUAUCAGAAAAAAACCUGGCGAUUUUUUAGGUGGUCUGGAAGGAGCGUAAUAACAGUCCUUAACAAAGCAUAAGACCACAAAUUAAUAUGGGGGAUCGCCGACGAAGAAAGGUUGUGGAGGGACAGAGGUAGAAGAGCCAUUGAUCUGGAGAGGUUGUUGUUAUGCUUUGACUCUAAUUGCUUGUUAAUUGUAGUACUUCCGAUCAUUCACCAUUUAUCUCUAUGUUCUUUACUGUAAAAACAGCAGCAUGUACCGUAUCUUUUUGGUAAAACAACAAACACUGCAGAUAGAAGUUGUGAUUCCUGUGUAAAUACUCUGCAAAUUCCAUCAUCUUCUGCGGGAUCAUCAACAAACAUUUUGUCAGGCAUACUUCAAUCACAAUUCACAGUCGGUCUUACCGGGUGAUCACGGAACGAGGUGUCUAACACUCAAGUCUAACCUGAAAAUAAAGGAGAAUGAUUUAUCAACAUUAAGAAUACGUUUCUAACUUCGUUGUUGCCAUCAUUCUGUUCACUCUGACAUCUAUUGUUUGUGAGGUACUGAGUUGUCAUUUUGCUAAAUAUAUAUUCCACAGAAAUCAUUAUUCUGAAUCUUUGGUUUA